RNAcentral lists this ribosomal RNA (440 nucleotides) under uncultured bacterium. RNAcentral's name for it is "partial 16S ribosomal RNA". It matches the Rfam family "Bacterial small subunit ribosomal RNA", at positions 339 to 795 of the family's 1533-position model. The record is from RNAcentral.
CUACGGGACGCACCAGUCGGGAAUAUUGCGCAAUGGAGGAAACUCUGACGCAGUGACGCCGCGUAUAGGAAGAAGGUUUUCGGAUUGUAAACUAUUGUCGUUAGGGAAGAUAAAAGACAGUACCUAAGGAGGAAGCUCCGGCUAACUACGUGCCAGCAGCCGCGGUAAUACGUAGGGAGCAAGCGUUAUCCGGAUUUAUUGGGUGUAAAGGGUGCGUAGACGGGACAGCAAGUUAGUUGUGAAAUCCCUCGGCUUAACUGAGGAACUGCAACUAAAACUACUAUUCUUGAGUGCAGGAGAGGAAAGUGGAAUUCCUAGUGUAGCGGUGAAAUGCGUAGAUAUUAGGAGGAACACCAGUGGCGAAGGCGACUUUCUGGACUGUAACUGACGUUGAAGCACGAAAGUGUGGGGAGCAAACAGGAUUAGAUACCCCAGUAGUC